This is a long non-coding RNA of Gymnodraco acuticeps, 888 nucleotides long. RefSeq lists it as uncharacterized. The transcript has 3 exons. NCBI's taxonomy places the organism in Eukaryota, Metazoa, Chordata, Actinopteri, Perciformes, Bathydraconidae. The record is from RefSeq and is a predicted model, not a curated record.
CUGAACCAUUCGCAAGUUUUUACAUGUGACAAAAUAUGCAUUGCGCAUUCGCAAGUUUUUACAUGUGACAAACGGUGAUUUGCAGAGUUUUUACAUGUGACAAACGGUGAUUUGCAUUGCAUCUGACAGAAUGAAGACUUUAGUGUUUUACAACAAUUUGAGAGAAUACAUGUCUGAAAGUGAAUUUCACACAGACCUCUCUAAAAAUGAGCGAGAUCAAAUGCGCCGUGCAUCAUCGAACUUUACAGUAAAAGAUGGCCGGUUGUUCUAUAUUGGUUCCAACCAGCAGUACAUGCGUUUUGGUAAUCUUGUCCGAGGAGGAAAAGCUGUCUGCCCUCACAGAGUGCCACGAUAACGCUGGAACAGGCAACCACAAUGGUUUGAGAGGCACCAGAAACAGAGUCAUUGCUGGCUACUACUGGUCAACUAUUACAACUGACAUUACUAACUGGGAUGCUGAACUCUCUCCCACCUCUCCCCUCUGCCCCCAUUGGACCUGGAUCUUAACACCCCCCCCACCCACACACACACACAAUAUAUGUAUUGCUGUGCCUUCUUAUUUGCUCGUAUUAUGAUGGGAUAUGGUUUAAUUUAGUAAAUGGUUGUGUGUGAAAAAUGUAUAUCUCUAAAAUGUGUGUUGGUGUAUGAUCACAUUUGUAUAUGAAAAUGUCUGAAGUUCAUAAAAACAUUCUCAGUGUUCAAGUCAAUCACUGCAAAGGGUGACGAUAUGGCAGAAGGUGCUAUAUAUAUAUAUAUAUAUAUGGAAUUGUGUAUUUACCACAAUUCCAAAGCUGGUAAGGACUCUUUCAAAUUUAGCAAUAAUAGUCUGAAGAAAAGGACUGAUAACAGAGAUUUGCCCUAAUAUGUAUUCAGUAUGAUAGGCUCUGU